CCUACGGGGGACUGCAGUGAGGAAUAUUGGUCAAUGGCCGGAAGGCUGAACCAGCCAUGCCGCGUGAAGGGCAGGGGCCUACGGGCGUUAAACUUCUUUUGUGCGGGAGCAAGAAUGGUAACGUGUGGCAAGACGAGAGGACCGUACGAAUAAGCAGCGGCGAACUCCGGGCCAGCAGCCGGGGUAAGACGGGGGAUGCAAGCGUUAGCCGGAGUUAUUGGGUUUAAAGGGUGCGUAGGCUGUGAGGUAAGUCAGCGGGGAAAUGCCCCCGCUCCACUGGGUGAAGUGCCAUUGAUACUGCCUUGCUGGAGUGCGGCUGCCGUGGUCGGAAUGUGUGGUGUAGCGCU
Molecule: ribosomal RNA, 347 nt
Filed under: uncultured bacterium
Lineage: Bacteria
Description: partial 16S ribosomal RNA
Rfam family: Bacterial small subunit ribosomal RNA
Source: RNAcentral